RNAcentral lists this ribosomal RNA (492 nucleotides) under uncultured bacterium. RNAcentral describes it as "bacterial SSU rRNA". It matches the Rfam family "Bacterial small subunit ribosomal RNA", at positions 33 to 507 of the family's 1533-position model. The record is from RNAcentral.
GGACGACGCUGGCGGCGUGCUUAACACAUGCAAGUGGAGCGACGAACCGGGGCUUGCCCCGGGCAGAGCCGCGAACGGGUGAGUAACACGUGGGUAACCUGCCUCAAUGAUUGGGACAACCCGGGGAAACUCGGGCUAAUACCAAAUGUGUUCACUCCUUCUAAGGGGAGUGAGGAAAGGAAGCUUCGGCCUCCGCAUUGAGAUGGGCCCGCGGCCCAUUAGCUUGUUGGUGAGGUAACGGCUCACCAAGGCUUCGAUGGGUAGCUGGUCUGAGAGGACGAUCAGCCACACUGGGACUGAGACACGGCCCAGACUCCUACGGGAGGCAGCAGUGGGGAAUCUUGCACAAUGCGCGAAAGCGUGAUGCAGCAACGCCGCGUGGGGGAAGACGGCCUUCGGGUUGUAAACCCCUUUCAGUUGGGACGAAGCUUCGUCGGUGAAUAGCCGGUUGGAGUGACGGUACCUUCAGAAGAAGCCCCGGCUAACUACGUG